CUCACCCCAUCUCUACUGGUAUUAUACUAUAAGGAAGGCUCACCCCAUCUCUACUGGUAUUAUACUAUAAGGAAGGCCCACCCCAUCUCUACUGGUAUUAUACAAUAAGGAAGGCCCACCCCAUCUCUACUGGUAUUAUACUAUAAGGAAGGCCCACCCCAUCUCUACUGGUAUUAUACUAUAAGGAAGGCUCACCCCAUCUCUACUGGUAUUACACUAUAAGGAAGGCUCACCCCAUCUCUACUGGUAUUAUACUAUAAGGAAGGCCCACCCCAUCACUACUGGUAUUAUGUAUUAUACUAUAAGCAAGGCCCACCCCAUCUCUAAUGGUAUUAUACUAUAAGGAAGGCCCACCCCAUCUCUACUGGUAUUAUACUAUAAGGAAGGCUCACCCCAUCUCUACUGGUAUUAUGUAUUAUACUAUAAGGAAGGCCCACCCCAUCUCUACUGGUAUUAUACUAUAAGGAAGGCCCACCCCAUCUCUA
RNAcentral lists this long non-coding RNA (485 nucleotides) under Salmo salar (Atlantic salmon). RNAcentral's name for it is "lncRNA (ENSSSAG00000119783.1)". The record is from RNAcentral. Lineage: Eukaryota; Metazoa; Chordata; Actinopteri; Salmoniformes; Salmonidae.